CCUACGGGAGGCAGCAGUGGGGAAUAUUGGACAAUGGGCGAAAGCCUGAUCCAGCAAUGCCGCGUGAGUGAUGAAGGCCUUAGGGUCGUAAAGCUCUUUUACCAGGGAUGAUAAUGACAGUACCUGGAGAAUAAGCUCCGGCUAACUCCGUGCCAGCAGCCGCGGUAAUACGGAGGGAGCUAGCGUUGUUCGGAAUUACUGGGCGUAAAGAGUACGUAGGCGGUUAUUCAAGUCAGAGGUGAAAGCCCGGGGCUCAACCCCGGAACUGCCUUUGAAACUAGAUAACUAGAGUCUUGGAGAGGUUAGUGGAAUUCCGAGUGUAGAGGUGAAAUUCGUAGAUAUUCGGAAGAACACCAGUGGCGAAGGCGACUAACUGGACAAGUACUGACGCUGAGGUACGAAAGCGUGGGGAGCAAACAGGAUUAGAUACCCUGGUAGUCCACGCCGUAAACGAUGAUAACUAGUUGUUCGGUCACUUGGUGACUGAGUGACGCAGCUAACGCAUUAAGUUAUCCGCCUGGGGAGUCGGUCGCAAGNUUAAAACUCAAAUGAAUUGACCGGNNGNGANGCGAGCGACACGAGGAGAG
RNAcentral lists this ribosomal RNA (587 nucleotides) under uncultured bacterium. RNAcentral's name for it is "bacterial SSU rRNA". It matches the Rfam family "Bacterial small subunit ribosomal RNA", at positions 338 to 943 of the family's 1533-position model. The record is from RNAcentral.